Molecule: ribosomal RNA, 399 nt
Filed under: Triticum aestivum (bread wheat)
Lineage: Eukaryota; Viridiplantae; Streptophyta; Magnoliopsida; Poales; Poaceae
Description: partial small subunit ribosomal RNA
Source: RNAcentral
AUGGUCACCAGAAAGCACCUUGUGGCACCCGAAAUUGGGCUGCAGCUGAAGAAACCAGGCAUCUAUCGGCUGAUUGGAGUUCAUCGGGUUCCAGUUCAAAUGCAUGAAAUUCGGGAUGUGGCAGUCUCGCGGACUGGUGGGGUUCCCGCUGUUUGCUUCAUGCUGUUGCAUUGUCGGUGGACAGCAGGCCAAUUUUGGAGCUCUCUUUGCAUCCUCCUGAAACAAGCAGCGGUUGGCAGCCCGUUGCCAAGCAGCUCUCGCUUCUGCCGCCGCCAUCAGUCUCGCAUGUCAAAAGUCUGCCUGCACAUCAGCAAGUUGACCAUCAGCAUUAGCUCAUACUUUUUGUUUCAAAGUGAAAAUAGUAGUGUAUCAGCAAAACGUUCUCCCUUUAAGAGAUGA